GGAGAGGUGGCCGAGUGGUUUAAGGCGCACGCUUGGAAAGCGUGUGUACCCUUACCGGUACCGUGGGUUCGAAUCCCACCCUCUCCGCCA
This 90-nucleotide transfer RNA is filed under the name Kiritimatiellia bacterium. RNAcentral's name for it is "Kiritimatiellae bacterium tRNA-Ser". It matches the Rfam family "tRNA". From Rfam's summary of the family: Transfer RNA (tRNA) molecules are approximately 80 nucleotides in length. Their secondary structure includes four short double-helical elements and three loops (D, anti-codon, and T loops). Further hydrogen bonds mediate the characteristic L-shaped molecular structure. tRNAs have two regions of fundamental functional importance: the anti-codon, which is responsible for specific mRNA codon recognition, and the 3' end, to which the tRNAs corresponding amino acid is attached (by aminoacyl-tRNA synthetases). tRNAs cope with the degeneracy of the genetic code in two manners: having more than one tRNA (with a specific anti-codon) for a particular amino acid; and 'wobble' base-pairing, i.e. permitting non-standard base-pairing at the 3rd anti-codon position. Lineage: Bacteria; Pseudomonadati; Kiritimatiellota; Kiritimatiellia. The record is from RNAcentral.